RNAcentral lists this ribosomal RNA (440 nucleotides) under uncultured bacterium. RNAcentral's name for it is "partial 16S ribosomal RNA". It matches the Rfam family "Bacterial small subunit ribosomal RNA", at positions 338 to 795 of the family's 1533-position model. The record is from RNAcentral.
CCUACGGGUGGCAGCAGUGGGGAAUAUUGCACAAUGGGGGAAACCCUGAUGCAGCGAAGCCGCGUGAAGGAAGAAGUAUUUAGGUAUGUAAACUUCUAUCAGCAGGGGAGUAAAUGACGGUACCUGACUCAGAUCCCACGGCUAACGACGUGCAAGCAGCCGCGGUAAUACGUAGGGUGCAAGCGUUAUCCGGAUUUACUGGGUGUAAAGGGAGCGUAGGCGGUUUAGCAAGUCAGAAGGGAAAGCCCGGGGCUCAACGACGGGACUGCUGUUGAAACUGUUGAACUAGAGUGUAGGAGAGGUAAGUGGAAUUCGUGGUGUAGCGGUGAAAUGCGUAGAUAUUAGGAGGAACACCAGUGGCGAAGGCGGCCUGCUGGACUGUAAAUGACGCUGAGGCUCGAAAGCGUGGGGAGCAAACAGGAUUAGAUACCCCGGUAGUC